RNAcentral lists this ribosomal RNA (413 nucleotides) under Anguilla anguilla (European eel). RNAcentral describes it as "partial large subunit ribosomal RNA". It matches the Rfam family "Bacterial large subunit ribosomal RNA", at positions 1816 to 2404 of the family's 2925-position model. The record is from RNAcentral. Lineage: Eukaryota; Metazoa; Chordata; Actinopteri; Anguilliformes; Anguillidae.
CGCCUCUUGCUAACAAAGGAAGUACUAGAGGUCCCGCCUGCCCUGUGACCACAAAGUUUAACGGCCGCGGUAUCCUGACCGUGCGAAGGUAGCGUAAUCAUUUGUCUUUUAAAUAGAGACCUGUAUGAAUGGCAUAACGAGGGUUUAACUGUCUCCUUCCCCUAGUCAAUGAAAUUGAUCUGCCCGUGCAGAAGCGGACAUAAACACAUAAGACGAGAAGACCCUAUGGAGCUUUAGACAAAAGAUCAAACAUGUAAAGAAACCAAACCAACCAAAAGGAACACGAAGGCCACAAAACCCAACGUAAACUGAUCUAAAUGUCUUCGGUUGGGGCGACCAUGGGGGAAAGAAAAGCCCCCACGAGGAACAGGGACAACCCUAAACUAAGAGAGACACCUCUAAGCAACAGAAAA